GAUCAUUACAGUUGCUUUGGCUUAGGCUGAUAGCAUCCGUGUCUUUUGAGUACCUUUGUUUCCUCGGCGGGCUUGCCCGCCAACGGGGACCUUCAAAACUCUUUGCAAGCACAGUAUUGUCUGAAAACAAACCUAAUAAAUUAAAACUUUCAACAAUGGAUCUCUUGGUUCUGGCAUCGAUGAAGAACGCAGCGAAAUGCGAUAAGUAGUGUGAAUUGCAGAAUUCCGUGAAUCAUCGAAUCUUUGAACGCACAUUGCGCCCUUUGGUAUUCCUUAGGGCAUGCCUGUUCGAGCGUCAUUUCAACCUUCAAGCUCUGCUUGGUAUUGGGUGUUUGUCCCCCGGGACUCGCCUUAAAAUCAUUGGUAGCUACCCUUUGGCUUUGAGCGCAGCACAUUUGCGUGACGAAAAAAAGGCUGGUUUCCAGAAAACACUUCCUAAUUUUGACCUCGGAUCAGGUAGGGAUACCCGCUGAACUUAAGCAUAUCAAUAAGCGGAGGAAAAGAAACCAACAGGGAUUGCCCUAGUAACGGCGAGUGAAGCGGCAACAGCUCAAAUUUGAAAUCUGGCUCUUUUAGGGUCCGAGUUGUAAUUUGUAGAGAGCGCUUUGGCGUUGGCUGUGGUCUAAGUUCCUUGGAACAGGACGUCACAGAGGGUGARAAUCCCGUACGUGGCCGCCAGUCUUCGCCGUGUAAAGCCUCUUCGACGAGUCGAGUUGUUUGGGAAUGCAGCUCUAAAUGGGAGGUAAAUUUCUUCUAAAGCUAAAUAUUGGCCAGAGACCGAUAGCGCACAAGUAGAGUGAUCGAAAGAUGAAAAGCACUUUGGAAAGAGAGUCAAAAAGCACGUGAAAUUGUUGAAAGGGAAGCGCUUGCAGCCAGACUUGCCUGUAGUUGCUCAUCUAGACUUUUGUCUAGUGCACUCUUCUGCAGGCAGGCCAGCAUCAGUUUGGGCGGUUGGAUAAAGGCCUAUUAAAUGUACCUCUCUUCGGGGAGAACUUAUAGGGUAGGCGUCAUGCAACCAGCCUGGACUGAGGUCCGCGCAU
RNAcentral lists this ribosomal RNA (1040 nucleotides) under uncultured fungus. RNAcentral describes it as "eukaryotic LSU rRNA". The stretch from base 443 to 1040 matches the Rfam family "Eukaryotic large subunit ribosomal RNA", at positions 1 to 602 of the family's 3401-position model. Lineage: Eukaryota; Fungi. The record is from RNAcentral.